This 374-nucleotide long non-coding RNA is filed under the name Trifolium pratense (red clover). RNAcentral's name for it is "long non-coding RNA (TPRA_LNC006148)". The record is from RNAcentral. Lineage: Eukaryota; Viridiplantae; Streptophyta; Magnoliopsida; Fabales; Fabaceae.
CCGGCUCAGGAACUGCAAUCGUCCUGGUCUCAGAACCCAAAGUCAUAUUCUGUAGUAAUUCUGUAGUGUCUAUAACAAUUACGGUAAAGGAAAUUCACUUCACAAUCACAGGCAUAAAAAAAAUACACUUGCAAUGAACAACAAAGAGAAAGAAAAAAAAACAAAAAAUUCAAGUAGAUCAACACAAGUAUACUAUAUAGUACAUAGUAAUGCUUCUAUGGAUGGAGUAGACACCAAAUAAUUGGACUCACACAUAAACAACAGUGUUGUCAAAAUAGUGAAUUGCACUGGUAUAGCACCCACUACAGCUGCUAUUUGACAACCCUUUAUACUAAAUUGUGUAUUGCAUAACAGUAACAAUUUGUUCAACUUCG